CCCGGCGGGUGCCUUCUUGUCGUAGGCGCCCGGCGCGUAAGGGUGCGCCACCAUCUCGUACGGCACGUACGGCCACGGCUCCACCCGCUUCCCCGUCUUGUACGCCACCCGCCGCAUCACCUUGCCGGCGUCCACGUACCCCGUCACCGUCACCUUGUUCUGCUUCGCCGUCACCUCCACUGAGCUCACCCCUUUCAUGUCCUCCAGUGCUUUCUUCACCUUCCUCUCGCAGCCUUCGCAGUCGAUCCGUACCUUCAUCUCCACCGUCUGCAUGCGUGUAUCAGGUUUUCAAGGUCAGGUCAGGUCAGUUUGUUGGGAUUUUGAAGAGAAACAGAUCAAGAUUCAUCAGAAGUA
RNAcentral lists this long non-coding RNA (354 nucleotides) under Sorghum bicolor (sorghum). Its description in RNAcentral is "long non-coding RNA (SBIC_LNC009992)". The record is from RNAcentral. Lineage: Eukaryota; Viridiplantae; Streptophyta; Magnoliopsida; Poales; Poaceae.